GUAGGUGAACCUGCGGAAGGAUCAUUAUUGACUUGCGGCUGCUUGCAGCCGUCAUUUCAUAACCCUUGACUUUUGAGCACCAUUUGUUUUCCCCCGGCGGGGCAACCCGCCGGCUGGGACUCCAUCAAACCCUUUGUAUCAGCAGUAUCUUCAGAACUUUAUAAUUUAUUAAAACUUUCAACAAUGGAUCUCUUGGCUCUG
Molecule: unclassified non-coding RNA, 201 nt
Filed under: rhizosphere metagenome
Description: partial ribosomal RNA internal transcribed spacer region
Source: RNAcentral